AUUCUCCUACGGGAGGCAGCAGUCGAGAAUCAUUCACAAUGGGGGAAACCCUGAUGGUGCGACGCCGCGUGGGGGAAUGAAGGUCUUCGGAUUGUAAACCCCUGUCAUGUGGGAGCAAAUUAAAAAGAUAGUACCACAAGAGGGAGAGACGGCUAACUCUGUGCCAGCAGCCGCGGUAAUACAGAGGUCUCAAGCGUUGUUCGGAGUCACUGGGCGUAAAGCGUGCGCAGGCUGUUUCGUAAGUCGUGUGUGAAAGGCGCGGGCUCAACCCGCGGACGGCACAUGAUACUGCGAGACUAGCGUAA
This 305-nucleotide ribosomal RNA is filed under the name uncultured bacterium. RNAcentral describes it as "bacterial SSU rRNA". It matches the Rfam family "Bacterial small subunit ribosomal RNA", at positions 333 to 649 of the family's 1533-position model. The record is from RNAcentral.